This 853-nucleotide ribosomal RNA is filed under the name uncultured Chloroflexota bacterium. Its description in RNAcentral is "bacterial SSU rRNA". It matches the Rfam family "Bacterial small subunit ribosomal RNA", at positions 28 to 896 of the family's 1533-position model. The record is from RNAcentral. Lineage: Bacteria; Bacillati; Chloroflexota.
GAUAAACGCUGGCGGCGUGCCUUAUGCAUGCAAGUCGAACGGUACUUUGUUCUUCGGAACAAAGGAGAGUGGCGAACGGGUGAGUAACGCAUAAGUAACCUACCCCCAAGUAGGGGAUAACUCUGAGAAAUCGGAGCUAAUACCGUAUGUGAUAAUGGAGGUAAUGCUCCAUUAUUAAAGUCUUAGGGUGCUUGGGGAGGGGCUUGUGUCCGAUUAGCUAGUUGGUAGGGUAACGGUUUACCAAGGCGAUGAUCGGUAGCUGGUUUAAGAGGACGGUCAGCCACACUGGGACUGAGACACGGCCCAGACUCCUACGGGAGGCAGCAGCAAGGAAUUUUGUGCAAUGGGCGAAAGCCUGACACAGCAACGUCGCGUGGGGGAUGAAGGCCUUCGGGUUGUAAACCCCUUUUCUCAGGGAAGAAUAAUGACGGUACCUGAGGAAUAAGUCUCGGCUAACUACGUGCCAGCAGCCGCGGUAAGACGUAGGAGGCGAACGUUAUUCGGAUUUACUGGGCGUAAAGGGAGCGUAGGCGGUUCCUUAAGUCAGAUGUGAAAUCUUCUGAUUCAAUCAGAAGGGGUCAUUUGAUACUGAGGGACUUGAGAAUAGCAGAGGGAAAUGGAAUCCCCAGUGUAGCGGUGAAAUGCGUAGAUAUUGGGGAGAACACCAGUGGCGAAGGCGAUUUCCCAGGUUGUUUCUGACGCUGAGGCUCGGAAGCGUGGGGAGCGAAGCGGAUUAGAUACCCGCGUAGUCCACGCCCUAAACGGUGGACACUAGACAUGGGAGGUAUCGACCCUUUCUGUGUCGAAGCUAACGCCUUAAGUGUCCCGCCUGGGGAGUACGGCCGCAAGGCUA